RNAcentral lists this small nuclear RNA (163 nucleotides) under Dasypus novemcinctus (nine-banded armadillo). RNAcentral describes it as "U1 spliceosomal RNA (ENSDNOG00000031589.1)". It matches the Rfam family "U1 spliceosomal RNA". From Rfam's summary of the family: U1 is a small nuclear RNA (snRNA) component of the spliceosome (involved in pre-mRNA splicing). Its 5' end forms complementary base pairs with the 5' splice junction, thus defining the 5' donor site of an intron. Lineage: Eukaryota; Metazoa; Chordata; Mammalia; Cingulata; Dasypodidae. The record is from RNAcentral.
AUACUUACCUGGCAAGGGAAAUACCAUAAUCACGAAGGCUGGUUUCCCAGGGGGAGUCUAAUCUACUGCACUCCCUAUAUGCUGUCUCUUGUGAUUUCCUCAAUGCGGAAGACUCAAGUGCAUUAUUUAUGGUAAUGGGGGACUACAUUCAUGCUUUCCCCUC